CUUGGUCAUUUAGAGGAAGUAAAAGUCGUAACAAGGUUUCCGUAGGUGAACCUGCGGAAGGAUCAUUAUCGAUUUUUAGAGAUGUGCUGGCACUCCUUCACCGGUUUACAUGUGCACUCUGCAAAAUCUCCUUCUCUUACCCCACUGUGCACACCCAAGUAGACAGACAGAGUUACAGAGCAAUCUGUGUAAUUCCUGAUUUGCCUAUGUUUUUAUCAAACACCAAUAACAAUCUCAGAAUGAUCUAUAUAGUAAGCUUUUAACAAGCUGAAAUUUAAUACAACUUUCAACAAUGGAUCUCUUGGUUCUCGCAUCGAUGAAGAACGCAGCGAAUUGCGAUAUGUAAUGUGAAUUGCAGAAUUCAGUGAAUCAUCGAAUCUUUGAACGCACCUUGCACCCUCUGGCAUUCCGGAGGGUAUGCCUGUUUGAGUGUCAUUAAUCUCUCAACACAAGAAACUUUGUCUCCUUGUGCUUGGAUAUUGAAGGUUUUGCUGGCGCAAACAACUGUCAGCUCCUUUUAAAUAUAUUAGCAGAGCAGUAUAGGACUGGCCUCGGUCUGAUAAGAAACUUUAUCUAUGCUGUCGCUGGGUUUUCCUCUUUGUGCUCAGCUUCAAAUUGUCGUCGGACUGUCUCUUGAGGCAACAAAAUCUCUAUUGAUCGACCUCAAAUCAGGUAGGACUACCCGCUGAACUUAAGCAUAUCAAUAAGCGGAGGA
This 715-nucleotide ribosomal RNA is filed under the name uncultured Clavaria. RNAcentral describes it as "eukaryotic LSU rRNA". The stretch from base 282 to 435 matches the Rfam family "5.8S ribosomal RNA". The record is from RNAcentral. Lineage: Eukaryota; Fungi; Basidiomycota; Agaricomycetes; Agaricales; Clavariaceae.